UUCGUCUCUCCCUCUCAGAACAAAAUGCCGACCGGAAGUGCAGCUGCAGGAAUGACUCCCUCCGCCGGCGCCAAACACUAACAACCACCCCCUCUUCCCCACUCCACUUCCGCCACCGCCGCGCCGCCGCCGCCACUUCGGUUCGCGUCUUCAGCUGCGCUGCACCGCACUGCCCGCUCCGCUCCGCUCCGCACCGCACCCGGGGCCGGGCGGCGGCCGGCAGCAAGGCGGCGGCGGCUCUCCUCUGCGCCUUUCUCCUCAGGGCGGCUGUGGAUGUUGCCUUUUAGUGUCGAUCCUGCGGAGCGGCGUUUUCGCUGCGGCACGGGCGGGCCGGGUCUUCCCGGUCUUUAUUUUCCUGGAGGCCGACCGGAGCGGGGCCCGAGUUCGGUGGUGGUAGCGUGCGUGGGGGGCGCUCAGGCCCGGACCGUCUCGCAGCCCGCGCACGCCGCCCCAACUGUUCGUCUUUAGCUCUCGGGAGCCGAGCUCGGGGCGGCCACGUAGAGGACGCCCGUGAUCCGACGGCGACCGAGCAUUUUUUAAAUGGUGUCCCUGCAGCCGGGUGGAUGGAUGUAUCGUAUUGUACACCUUUCUCUCCUUUUGAGAGGCCAGACUUUACGCCAGUCUCUGCAUUAUUUCUGAGGAGUGAGAACGCAACGCGUGGAGGAGACGAAGAUUCUCAGCUGGAUUGAAAUGGAACCAUGUUUGUGAUGCAUAUAUUUCUGGAAAUAUGUGGUCUUUUCUGGUCUUGCAUUUUGUUGCCUGUGGUUUUGGCUCUUGCCUAGCAGUCGGGAGAAGGGCCUAUAGGCGACGCUGUUCGAGCGAGGAGCCAGUCCGCGCCCCCCUCUAGUUGUGGGUGGAGCCGAGCACGCGGGGAGAGCCGGCGGAGUGCGGGCCGCGGGGGGGCCUGGGGCCAGACGAUUUCAGACUUCGUUUUCCUUUACGUUCGAAACAGUGAGGUACUGGCCAAGGCUGGAGUACAAAUGUGAUUGUGUGUACAGUUCCAAGCCUCCUGUAGUCUCUGACUGAAACACGUGAAAUAACUUUACCGUACAGGUCACUAUUAAGUUUACUUCUGUACAUUAAAAGGGGGCUAUUCUUCAGGUAAAAAAUGCAUAGGUGGUGAAACUUAGGUGGAUCAGAACAAAGCAAAGUUUAUUAACCAUUAAGCAGAAGCAAUUCAAGUAGAAAUAUAAAAGUGGAAAUGUCUUGGUAUUAUAACCUAAGAUGGAAAACCAAAGAAAAUAGUACCUAGGGCCAUGAUGAAUUACUCACUAGAUGUAACAGUAAACCAUUUCUUAAUAAUUCCAUUUUUAUUGAAAGCUGAAAUUAGUCUCUAAUAGGCACAUUAUAAAAUGAUCAAGUUGGCAGAAAUAGAUUGAUCUUACAUUAAAAUUGUAUGUACUUUGAUAAUCUAAAAAACAAAGGAUAAAUUUUAAUAAAGAAUGAUUACAGUGAAUUAAUAUGAGGUGAUUUUUCACUUUAAAAAUAAAAAAUAGAAUUGUUUCCAUUACCCUUUAUAAACAAAACAAAAAGUAAUACCUUGAUUUGUGACAUGUUUGGAGGAAUAUAGUAGCUAAAUGACAGUUGUACUGUCAGCUUAUUUAAUAUAUUCUAAGUACCUCAAAAUCUCCGAUAGAAUGAUUAUUCGAAGUAAAAUUGUAAGAGCUGGGUGUUAGCUAACUGUAUUAAAAUUAAAAAAUUUAAAGGCUCAAACAAUUUUAGUUUAAUAAACUAAAUAAUGGUAGUCUAGCCGCUUAUUCAUUGUAAGGUUUGUGGAAACAUACUGUCCAAAGCAUAGAAGGACAAUGGAUUCAGGGAGAUUUUAGCUAUAGGUAAUAUUUACUUAUGUGUUUGUUCAUUCUAAAAAUAUACUUCUUGAACACAUACUAUCUCCACAGGACAUGGAGCAUGUAUUCAUUCUUACAUCUUGUUGAAAGAUUUAAUUUCAUUAAUAUUAUGUGAAUAGUCAUAGAAAUUCAAUAUGCAGCCCAUUGAAUCCAAGGAGGUGGCACUUAGAAGCAAAUCAUUUAAUAUUGAGUACUAGAAGGUAGACUGUAAACUUCUGUAAGUUAGUUCUUUUAUAAUACUACAUUAUACUGACAUUAUAUAUUGUCAUCUGGUGUCAAAUCAGUUAAUCACAGCAAUAAUAUCCAGUAAGUAAAAUUCAUCUAAUAGCAGCUGUAGAGACAUUUUAGUGCCAAAAAAGAAUUCAACCAGUAUUACUACGAAUUAUGUGCUUCUUUUACACAUAAGUUGCUAUAAAUAUGGACUAUUAGAAUUGCAUAAACUGACUUCCCUGGUGGAGCAGUGGUUAAGAAUCCAACUGCCAAUGCAGGGGAUACGGGUUCUAUCCCUGGUCUGGGAAGAUCACACAUGCUCCGGAGCAACUAAGCCCGUGAGCCACAACUAGUGAAGCCCGUGCUCCACAACAAGAGAAGCCACUGCAAUGAGAAGCCUGAGCACUGCAAUGAAGAGUAGCCCCCACUCGCCACAACUAGAGAAAGCCUGCGCGCAGCAAUGAAGACCCAACACAGCCAAAAAUAAAUUAAUUAAUUUUUAAAAAGUGCAUAAACAGCCUGACCUUUUAAUUAUAUUUUAAAUUUUGUUAGUGUUUUCACCCAUGGAAAAUGCUAUACUGAUCUUUUAAAAAUUUCAUUAAUAAAGUGGCAAUAGCUUU
This is a long non-coding RNA of Globicephala melas (long-finned pilot whale), 2677 nucleotides long. RefSeq lists it as uncharacterized. NCBI's taxonomy places the organism in Eukaryota, Metazoa, Chordata, Mammalia, Artiodactyla, Delphinidae. The record is from RefSeq and is a predicted model, not a curated record.